Molecule: ribosomal RNA, 391 nt
Filed under: uncultured bacterium
Lineage: Bacteria
Description: bacterial SSU rRNA
Rfam family: Bacterial small subunit ribosomal RNA
Source: RNAcentral
AUUGAACGCUGGCGGCAUGCCUUACACAUGCAAGUCGAACGGCAGCACGGGAGCAAUCCUGGUGGCGAGUGGCGAACGGGUGAGUAAUAUAUCGGAACGUGCCCAGUCGUGGGGGAUAACGUAGCGAAAGCUACGCUAAUACCGCAUACGAUCUAUGGAUGAAAGCGGGGGAUCGCAAGACCUCGCGCGAUUGGAGCGGCCGAUAUCAGAUUAGGUAGUUGGUGAGGUAAAGGCUCACCAAGCCGACGAUCUGUAGCUGGUCUGAGAGGACGACCAGCCACACUGGGACUGAGACACGGCCCAGACUCCUACGGGAGGCAGCAGUGGGGAAUUUUUGGGACAAAUGGGCGGCAAGCCUGAUCCAGCAAUGCCGCGUGCAGGAUGAAGGCCU